This 27-nucleotide small RNA is filed under the name Bombyx mori (domestic silkworm). RNAcentral describes it as "ovarian small RNA-17685". Lineage: Eukaryota; Metazoa; Arthropoda; Insecta; Lepidoptera; Bombycidae. The record is from RNAcentral.
GUCAAAAGGAAAGCCACUCGGUCGCUA